This 2069-nucleotide long non-coding RNA is filed under the name Xyrichtys novacula (pearly razorfish). The record is from RNAcentral. Lineage: Eukaryota; Metazoa; Chordata; Actinopteri; Labriformes; Labridae.
UUGCAGCCCCAAAGCCCUCCAAGACCAGGGUGGACAUGACAUCCUUCACAUUUCAGGAAGCAGAAGUACAACUUUAAUAAAGGAAGCUAUCACAGUUGUCCUAUAUUGUGCUAAAGAGACAUAAAAGAGCAGAGCAGAAAAUGAAGCAACAUGCUGGGCGUAAAUCUUAAGAGGAUUUGUAAUGCUAGCAGUGGUGGGUAAUCCUUUUUUUAAUGGACUGACACCAUCCUUCACUAGAAGACAAAUGGAGUUCUGGGUAAACGGAGUUGGUGGCCAUCCUUUCUAUGCCACCCUCCCCCAUAUAGGGCUUGCUGGCAGCCAUGACCUGUGAACCCCCCAUUUCUGCUCUCUUUCCCCACAGCCUGAGAAAAACACCAAAGCUAAGAAUUGGAUUUUAUUGAUACUGCACAAGAUCAGUAUAAGAAUUGUGCUUCCUCGGGAUUUGCAGAAGAAACAUCCUCUUCAUUUCAAAUAUUCUCACAUAAGGGAUGAUACCAAAGAUGACUUAGCUGGUUUCUGAUUUGUUGCCACACAUCUGACAUGUUUUCAUACAACAAAUCAGCUUAUCUGUAUCUUGGUUUUGGGGGGUUGUUGAAAGCAGAACAAAGGUCACUCCCUGUAUAGACUAAUUCACAAAUGAUUUAAAGACAAAAGUACCUCAGCAAGCAAAACCCCUUCAGCAUGUAAGUGUAAGACUAAUUCCAAAAAAGUUGGGACACUGUAAAAUAUUGACAAGAUCAGAUUUUGAUGUGAUGGUUUGCAAAUGGUUUAGUCAGUAUUCACUCAAUAAUAGUACACAUACUAUAAAUGAAAGGGAAAAAGAAUAAUAUGCAUAUUAUUUUGUUUAUUUUAUUAGUAUUGGACUAGUGUUACAUUUGUGCCACAUAUAGCUCCCUCAACACAUUAAAUAACACAAUGGCCACAUCCUGUGGCACAUAGUCAAACCAGUCAUGGCCGGCUCAUGACAUUUAGACAGUUUUUAUCUGCACACUGCACUUGCCAGUACCACUGCAAUGCCAAGAGUAUGAAAAGUGGUUCAGAUGUGUGCGCUAACUGGUGCUGAUAUCUGUGACAGACGGUUGAGAGGUUUGGUAUUUUACUAUGACACACUGACUGUCUGUAGAUAAAACUUAGUACAUCUGUAGAUUAUUGUAAUAUUCUCUUGUUAUCACCAACCUCAACAUCAGCAUGAUUUACUUACAGAAUGAUAUAAGCUUUAGUGAUAUUCACAUGGAUUUUGGUGGUGAAGCAGUGUUUUCUGAUGAAAACUCAGAAAUGGUAACAUUCCUGUGUCAGAUCUACACUGUGGCAUACAAUAUGGGCCCACGCAGCCCUGUAGGCCUACCUACACAGUAGCCUAGGUAUGUAGCCUGAGGUGUACCUCCUCAAAAAUAUCUGUCAAUGUGCCAAAAUAACUCAUGUUGGGAGCGCUGUGAUAGGUGCUCUAAGGAGCGUCAGGUUUCUUGCAUUUACAUUUCCGAUACUCUCAGAUGUUUAUUGCCUUUAGAAUACAUCUUAUCCCCUUUUUUCUUCUUUGCAAUAACUGCAGCAUGAUGAACUUGUUCUCAACUUUUAUCAGCUCCAACCCUUAGAUAAUACCCCCAUCAAACAUAGUCUGAGUUGGCAUGGUUUCCUCUGCAAACCAUCAGAGAAUGUUGCUCCACUUGAAACUGGCGAUUGGACUAUAAAAAUAACACUUCCACCUAGAGUUUAUGUAGAGUAUUGCUUGGGCCAAGCUGGGAACACCCCAAAGUCCCAGAAGCAUCUCUACACUCAGUGUGCCCUGCAUGGGCCAAGCUAAUCAGAGAAGAUCAACCUAAACAGGAUGUAAAGCACUGGACCAGUGCAUGUCAAUGGAAAAAUCCCAAUAUGCUGACUACCAACUCAGAUCAUGUUGAUGAGAGAUAAGACUUGGUCAUGGAUUCAUUUUUAACGCAAAACACAGCAGGAAUUUUAGAUGCUAACUCUGUCUGAAGGUAUUAGCACAGCAAAGUGGAACAUAAUUUACAUGUAAACACGUGUAAACCUGCAAAAACCGAAACCUUAAAAUCAUGUUGCUUGUUCACAAA